Molecule: ribosomal RNA, 506 nt
Filed under: Glomus sp. Glo2
Lineage: Eukaryota; Fungi; Glomeromycota; Glomeromycetes; Glomerales; Glomeraceae
Also listed under: 1 other name
Description: SSU rRNA
Rfam family: Eukaryotic small subunit ribosomal RNA
Source: RNAcentral
AGCAGCCGCGGUAAUUCCAGCUCCAAUAGCGUAUAUUAAAGUUGUUGCAGUUAAAAAGCUCGUAGUUGAAUUUCGGGAUUAGUACGUUGGUCGUGCCUUCGGUACGUACUGGUGUUACUGAUUCCUACCUUCUGACGAACCAUCAUGUCAUUAAUUUGGUGUGGCGGGGAAUCAGGACUGUUACUUUGAAAAAAUUAGAGUGUUUAAAGCAGGCUCGCGCUUGAAUACAUUAGCAUGGAAUAAUGAAAUAGGACGUUGACCCUAUUUUGUUGGUUUCUAGGAUUGACGUAAUGAUUAAUAGGGAUAGUUGGGGGCAUUAGUAUUCAAUUGUCAGAGGUGAAAUUCUUGGAUUUAUUGAAGACUAACUACUGCGAAAGCAUUUGCCAAGGAUGUUUUCAUUAAUCAAGAACGAAAGUUAGGGGAUCGAAGACGAUCAGAUACCGUCGUAGUCUUAACCAUAAACUAUGCCGACUAGGGAUCGGAUGAUGUUAUUUUUUAAUGACUCA